This 1005-nucleotide long non-coding RNA is filed under the name Nicotiana tabacum (common tobacco). RNAcentral describes it as "long non-coding RNA (NTAB_LNC007019)". Lineage: Eukaryota; Viridiplantae; Streptophyta; Magnoliopsida; Solanales; Solanaceae. The record is from RNAcentral.
CUCCUUGUAUAAUCGCAACAAUCACUUAAUUUAAUAACAAUAGCAAUUAAACUCACUACAAAAUAGACAGAAAACAAGGGCCUUCCACUGAAACACUAACACGUUUCAGUUGAAAAACAUCUAAUGAAAAGCAAUUAUAUAUUGAUGGUAGACAUCAAACAGAAGCUUGCUAACCAAAACUGAAUUCUUUCCAUGACCAAAUACCUUAACUAGAUUGUGUUUCGCGGAAAAGAGCUAAAAGUCUCGUGUGGUAAAAUUUGGCACCAACUAAUGCUUUGUUAACAAAGAAUCGCGUGUCAUUUUCUUUUAAUAAGCAUUAAUUACCAUGAAGUUUCUUGAAGAAGCCGGCCACUUGCCUGCCAGGAUAUACUAUGUUUCUUUUUAUCAUGCCAACCAAGUUGCCCACGAAGAACACUGUCCAGUACAUCAGAGGCCUUUUCUCAAACCCUAUGAUAAAAGGAGGAAACUCAAGUCAGACACAUUCCGUAUUUCAGUUACUACAUCUGACAUGAAUACAAACAUUGUAGGUACCUAUUAUGCCACAUAUAUACAUAUAAGAGGCACACUAAUAGGGGCUGAAGACAACUCUGCAUACAUGACCAAUUAGUAUUUAGUCACCAAACAGGCACACAAAGCAAUAUCAUAAACCACUAAUUUGAAAUUUCAAAAACCACAUCUCUGAUAGCGGCAAUGGUAUGAAAAUAGACGGUUCUGUCUACGAAUUUACAUAAAUCAGCAGCAACACGAUAAGCCCUCAUUACUCCUGAAAUUCAAGGGAAAGAAACCAUCUUCAACGCUAUAUAAAUCAGCAGAAAGAAAAAGCAAUUACAUACGGAAAGAAUUAUUUAACAUACAGUGGUAUUGAAUGGCAAACCCUUCGGAUUUCUCUGUGGCAUAUCGUGAAUGGGUCUUUGGCCUUCCCACAUAGAAGAUGGAUGCAAGUCCCGAUGUCAACUCAUUUAGCAAGCAUGAACGUAUCUAAUAAGUGAAAAAAGCAAUUUUUGC